This 492-nucleotide ribosomal RNA is filed under the name uncultured bacterium. RNAcentral describes it as "partial 16S ribosomal RNA". It matches the Rfam family "Bacterial small subunit ribosomal RNA", at positions 29 to 507 of the family's 1533-position model. The record is from RNAcentral.
AGUGAACGCUGGCGGUAGGCCUAACACAUGCAAGUCGAACGGCAGCACAGUAAGAGCUUGCUCUUACGGGUGGCGAGUGGCGGACGGGUGAGGAAUACAUCGGAAUCUACUUUUUCGUGGGGGAUAACGUAGGGAAACUUACGCUAAUACCGCAUACGACCUACGGGUGAAAGCAGGGGAUCUUCGGACCUUGCGCGAUUGAAUGAGCCGAUGUCGGAUUAGCUAGUUGGCGGGGUAAAGGCCCACCAAGGCGACGAUCCGUAGCUGGUCUGAGAGGAUGAUCAGUCACACUGGAAGUGAGACACGGUCCAGACUCCUACGGGAGGCAGCAGUGGGGAAUAUUGGACAAUGGGCGCAAGCCUGAUCCAGCCAUACCGCGUGGGUGAAGAAGGCCUUCGGGUUGUAAAGCCCUUUUGUUGGGAAAGAAAAGCAGCAGGUUAAUACCCCGCUGUUCUGACGGUACCCAAAGAAUAAGCACCGGCUAACUUCGUG